RNAcentral lists this ribosomal RNA (443 nucleotides) under uncultured Armatimonadota bacterium. RNAcentral's name for it is "uncultured Armatimonadetes bacterium partial 16S ribosomal RNA". It matches the Rfam family "Bacterial small subunit ribosomal RNA", at positions 338 to 794 of the family's 1533-position model. The record is from RNAcentral. Lineage: Bacteria; Bacillati; Armatimonadota.
CCUACGGGGGGCAGCAAUUAGGAAUCUUGCGCAAUGGGGGAAACCCCGACGCAGCGACGCCGCGUGAAGGAAGAAGGCCUUCGGGUUGUAAACUUCUUUUAAGAGGGAAGAAGCGAUUGACGGUACCUCUUGAAUAAGCCCCGGCUAACUACGUGCCAGCAGCCGCGGUAAUACGUAGGGGGCGAGCGUUGUCCGAAGUUACUGGGCGUAAAGCGCGCGUAGGCGGGCUGUUAAGUCAGAUGUGAAAUCUCCGCGGCUCAACCGGGAAAGUGCAUCUGAGACUGGCGGUCUUGAGCGGUGGAGAGGGAAGUGGAAUUCCGGGUGUAGCGGUAAAAUGCGUAGAUACCGGGAGGAACACCGUGGGCGAAGGCGGCCUUCGGGGCUUCUCCUGACGCUGAGGGGCGAAAGCCUGGGGAGCGAACCGGAUUAGAUACCCGGGUAGU